AGGACGAACGCUGGCGGCGUGCUUAACACAUGCAAGUCGAGCGGAAAGGCCCUUCGGGGUACUCGAGCGGCGAACGGGUGAGUAACACGUGAGUAAUCUGCCCCUAGCUCUGGGAUAGCUCCGGGAAACCGGGAUUAAUACCGGAUACGACCACCUUAGACAUCUUUUGUGGUGGAAAGAAUUUCGGCUAGGGAUGAGCUCGCGGCCUAUCAGCUUGUUGGUGGGGUAACGGCCUACCAAGGCGACGACGGGUAGCCGGCCUGAGAGGGCGACCGGCCAACGACGUCGGGACUGAGACACGGCCCAGACUCCUACGGGAGGCAGCAGUGGGAAUAUUGCGCAAUGGGCGAAAGCCUGACGCAGCGACGCCGCGUGGGGGAUGAAGGCCUUCGGGUUGUAAACCCCUUUCAGCAGGGACGAAGCGAAGUGACGGUACCUGCAGAAGAAGCGCCGGCUAACUACGUGCCAGCAGCCGC
RNAcentral lists this ribosomal RNA (476 nucleotides) under uncultured bacterium. RNAcentral describes it as "SSU rRNA". It matches the Rfam family "Bacterial small subunit ribosomal RNA", at positions 26 to 518 of the family's 1533-position model. The record is from RNAcentral.